Molecule: long non-coding RNA, 654 nt
Filed under: Equus caballus (horse)
Lineage: Eukaryota; Metazoa; Chordata; Mammalia; Perissodactyla; Equidae
Description: lncRNA (ENSECAG00000056666.1)
Source: RNAcentral
UAGGGGGCUAAUUUUAAGGACCAGAGAGAAGCCUCUAGGAGCUCAGAGUGGUCCCCAGCCAAGAUCCAGCAAAGAAAUAGGACCUCAACUCUAUACCUGCAUCAACCGAAUUCUGCCAACAACCUGAAUGAGCCAGGACAUGGCUUCUCUCCAGAGCCUCCAGAAGGGAACGCAGCCCUGCUGACUCCUUGAUUUCCACCUCGUGAGACUCGGAGCAAAGGAACCACCCAAGCCAUCUAUACCCGGACUUCUGACCCCCAGAACAGUGAGAUAAGAACUGAAGGUAAAGAUUGUGGAAAGUCAUCUUUCACCUCGUGGACAAGGGUCAUACCCUAGGGAUGGCAAAGCAGAAAAAUGGAAGGAGCCUGUGUGCUCAACACUAUUGAGCUGCCACUUGGGCCUGGGCUGCCAUCUUGAAUGUUAAGCAUCCACCGAAGCAGUCUAGUCUGUGCUCUGAAGCUACAGCCAUUGAGGGAAAGGUGGAGCCCUGAAAAAGAAGUCAGGUGCCACCAGGAUGGGGAAACAGGUGCUGGGCAGCCAAAAUGGCAAAUGUCCUCUACAGCUAAUACCAUUACACUGCUUUUGAGGCAGAAUAAUAACAGAUCAGUUUUGGGAUGUUUAACAAAAUUCUUUUGUUACUUGACAGACUCGUUU